AUUGAACGCUGGCGGCGUGCCUAACACAUGCAAGUCGAGCGGCAGCGCGGGAGCAAUCCUGGCGGCGAGCGGCGGACGGGUGAGUAAUGCUUGGGAAUCUGCCUGUUAGUGGGGGACAACCCGGGGAAACGUCGGGCGUAAUACCGCAUACGCACUACGGUGGAAAGCCGGGGACCGCAAGGCCUGGCGCUAACAGAUGAGCCCAAGUCGGAUUAGCUAGUUGGUAGGGUAACGGCCACCAAGGCGACGAUCCGUAACUGGUCUGAGAGGACGACCAGUCACACCGGAACUGAGACACGGUCCGGACUCCUACGGGAGGCAGCAGUGGGGAAUAUUGGACAAUGGGGGAAA
This 351-nucleotide ribosomal RNA is filed under the name uncultured bacterium. RNAcentral's name for it is "bacterial SSU rRNA". It matches the Rfam family "Bacterial small subunit ribosomal RNA", at positions 29 to 380 of the family's 1533-position model. The record is from RNAcentral.